GCUAGUAUUUGUCAUACUGAUAACACUAGUACUUAAAGAAGUGGCCAAGCAACAUCUGAAUAUCUGAGCUGGGACUUCCAGCCCUUGUAGUGUAUCUAAUAGCGGCCUAGCUUGGGGUCUGGGAGAAAAACAGGACAUUUGCUUGUGUAUGACACAGGUGGACUGCAGCAUUUACAAGAAGUAUCCAGUGGUGGCCAUCCCCUGCCCCAUCACAUACCUGCCAGUUUGUGGUUCUGACUACAUCACUUAUGGGAAUGAAUGUCACUUGUGUACCGAGAGCUUGAAAAGUAAUGGAAGAGUUCAGUUUCUUCACGAUGGAAGUUGCUAAAUUCUCCAUGGACAUAGAGAGAAAGGAAUGAUAUUCUCAUCAUCACCUUCAUCGUCCCAGUCUCUGACUGAGUUUCUUUCAGUUUUACUGACGUUCUGGGUGGGGGACAGAGCCAGAUUCAGAGUCAUCUUGAUUGAAUGGAGAAAGUUUCUGUACUACCCCUACAAAUGCAUGCCUCACUGACAGACUAGUAUUUUUUUUAACACAUCAAUAAAAAAAUAAUCUCCCAGAAAGUU
RNAcentral lists this small RNA (564 nucleotides) under Pongo abelii (Sumatran orangutan). RNAcentral's name for it is "retained intron". The record is from RNAcentral. Lineage: Eukaryota; Metazoa; Chordata; Mammalia; Primates; Hominidae.